GUGGCUAUAGCUCAGUCGGUUAGAGCGCUGGAUUGUGGUUCCAGAGGUCAUGGGUUCGAACCCCAUUAGCCACC
Molecule: transfer RNA, 74 nt
Filed under: Flavobacteriales bacterium
Lineage: Bacteria; Pseudomonadati; Bacteroidota; Flavobacteriia; Flavobacteriales
Description: tRNA-His
Rfam family: tRNA
About the family: Transfer RNA (tRNA) molecules are approximately 80 nucleotides in length. Their secondary structure includes four short double-helical elements and three loops (D, anti-codon, and T loops).
Source: RNAcentral